RNAcentral lists this ribosomal RNA (439 nucleotides) under uncultured bacterium. RNAcentral describes it as "partial 16S ribosomal RNA". It matches the Rfam family "Bacterial small subunit ribosomal RNA", at positions 339 to 795 of the family's 1533-position model. The record is from RNAcentral.
CUACGGGAUGCACCAGUGAGGAAUAUUGCACAAUGGGGGGAACCCUGAUGCGGCAACGCCGCGUGGAGGAUGACGCAUUUCGGUGUGUAAACUCCUUUUAUAUGUCAAGAAAAUGACGGUAGCAUAUGAAUAAGCACCGGCUAACUCCGUGCCAGCAGCCGCGGUAAUACGGAGGGUGCAAGCGUUACUCGGAAUCACUGGGCGUAAAGGACGCGUAGGCGGGUUGGAAAGUCAGGUGUGAAAUCCUACAGCUUAACUGUAGAACUGCACUUGAAACUUCUAAUCUAGAGUAUGGGAGGGGGUGAUGGAAUUAGUGGUGUCGGGGUAAAAUCCGUAGAUAUCACUAGGAAUACCUAAAGCGAAGGCGAUCUCCUGGAACAUUACUGACGCUAAGGCGUGAAAGCGUGGGGAGCAAACAGGAUUAGAUACCCCCGUAGUC